ACGAAGAUUUAAAAAACAAGAAGAACAAAAAUACGCAGUCUACGAAGAUAUUCAGGAUGGAGGAUUGAUACCUACAAAUCGUGGGAACAUUUCUGGCAGACCAUCAACUACAAUCAACAUGGCGGAUCUCCCAGGUGAAUCAAACCAAAAUGAUGCCACAUGUUACACCAUCCCUGAUAUUCCACCAAUGGGGAACAGAACUGAUACAUCUCUAACUAAUGAG
Molecule: long non-coding RNA, 223 nt
Organism: Scomber japonicus (chub mackerel)
Lineage: Eukaryota; Metazoa; Chordata; Actinopteri; Scombriformes; Scombridae
Exons: 5
Source: RefSeq, a predicted model, not a curated record